GUGGGGAAUAUUGGACAAUGGGCGCAAGCCUGAUCCAGCAAUUCCGCGUGGAUGAAGAAGGUCUUCGGAUUGUAAAGUCCUUUCGGCGGGGACGAUGAUGACGGUACCCGCAGAAGAAGCCCCGGCUAACUUCGUGCCAGCAGCCGCGGUAAUACGAAGGGGGCUAGCGUUGCUCGGAAUGACUGGGCGUAAAGGGCGCGUAGGCGGCGCAUUUAGUCAGGCGUGAAAUUCCUGGGCUCAACCUGGGGACUGCGCUUGAUACGGGUGUGCUUGAGGAUGGAAGAGGCUCGCGGAAUUCCCAGUGUAGAGGUGAAAUUCGUAGAUAUUGGGAAGAACACCGGUGGCGAAGGCGACUUACUGGACACAUAUUGACGCUGAGGUGCGAAAGCGUGGGGAGCAAAC
RNAcentral lists this ribosomal RNA (402 nucleotides) under uncultured bacterium. RNAcentral describes it as "bacterial SSU rRNA". It matches the Rfam family "Bacterial small subunit ribosomal RNA", at positions 354 to 773 of the family's 1533-position model. The record is from RNAcentral.